GUGCGCGUAGCUCAGCGGUAGAGCACCUGACUUUUAAUCAGGGGGUCGAGGGUUCGAUCCCCUCCGCGCAUACCA
Molecule: transfer RNA, 75 nt
Filed under: Alphaproteobacteria bacterium
Lineage: Bacteria; Pseudomonadati; Pseudomonadota; Alphaproteobacteria
Description: tRNA-Lys
Rfam family: tRNA
About the family: Transfer RNA (tRNA) molecules are approximately 80 nucleotides in length. Their secondary structure includes four short double-helical elements and three loops (D, anti-codon, and T loops). Further hydrogen bonds mediate the characteristic L-shaped molecular structure. tRNAs have two regions of fundamental functional importance: the anti-codon, which is responsible for specific mRNA codon recognition, and the 3' end, to which the tRNAs corresponding amino acid is attached (by aminoacyl-tRNA synthetases). tRNAs cope with the degeneracy of the genetic code in two manners: having more than one tRNA (with a specific anti-codon) for a particular amino acid; and 'wobble' base-pairing, i.e. permitting non-standard base-pairing at the 3rd anti-codon position.
Source: RNAcentral